This 497-nucleotide ribosomal RNA is filed under the name uncultured bacterium. RNAcentral's name for it is "partial 16S ribosomal RNA". It matches the Rfam family "Bacterial small subunit ribosomal RNA", at positions 28 to 507 of the family's 1533-position model. The record is from RNAcentral.
GAUGAACGCUGGCGGCGUGCCUAACACAUGCAAGUCGAGCGGACGGACGAGAAGCUUGCUUCUCUGAUGUUAGCGGCGGACGGGUGAGUAACACGUGGAUAACCUACCUAUAAGUCUGGGAUAACUUCGGGAAACCGGAUCUAAUACCGGAUAAUAUUUUGAACCGCAUGGUUCAAAAGUGAAUGACGGUCUUGCUGUCACUUAUAGAUGGAUCCGCGCUGCAUUAGCUAGUUGGUAAGGUAACGGCUUACCAAGGCAACGAUGCAUAGCCGACCUGAGAGGGUGAUCGGCCACACUGGAACUGAGACACGGUCCAGACUCCUACGGGAGGCAGCAGUAGGGAAUCUUCGGCAAUGGGCGAAAGCCUGACGGAGCAACGCCGCGUGGGUGAUGAAGGUCUUCGGAUCGUAAAACUCUGUUAUUAGGGAAGAACAUAUGUGUAAGUAACUGUGCACAUCUUGACGGUACCUAAUCAGAAAGCCACGGCUAACUACGUG